RNAcentral lists this ribosomal RNA (370 nucleotides) under uncultured eukaryote. RNAcentral's name for it is "partial 18S ribosomal RNA". It matches the Rfam family "Eukaryotic small subunit ribosomal RNA", at positions 592 to 976 of the family's 1831-position model. The record is from RNAcentral.
CAAUAGCGUAUAUUAAAGUUGUUGCAGUUAAAAAGCUCGUAGUUGGAUUUCUGGUCGGAAGCUCCUGUCCUCUGAUGAGCGUACAAGUGCGUCCUACCAUCCUUCUGUUAACCUUUAAGGCUUUCGCGGCUUUCUAGGGGCUCAGAUAUUUUACCUUGAGAAAAUUAGAGUGUUUCAGGCAGGCUAGCGCCGGAAUACAUUAGCAUGGAAUAAUGGAAUAGGACUUUUGCCUCUUCUGUUGGUCAUGAGGCUCGAGUAAUGAUUAAUAGGGAUAGUUGGGGGCAUUAGUACUUAACUGUCAGAGGUGAAAUUCUCGGAUUUGUUAAAGACUAACUUAUGCGAAAGCAUUUGCCAAGGAUGUUUUCGUUAA